AGACGGGGGGGGCGAGCGUUGUUCGGAAUUACUGGGCGUAAAGCGCUCGUAGGCGGCUUGUUAAGUCGGAUGUGAAAGCCCCGGGCUCAACCUGGGAACUGCAUUCGAUACUGGCAGGCUAGAGUAUAGUAGAGGCAAGUGGAAUUCCGGGUGUAGCGGUGAAAUGCGUAGAUAUCCGGAGGAACAUCAGUGGCGAAGGCGACUUGCUGGACUAAUACUGACGCUGAGGUGCGAAAGCGUGGGGAGCAAACAGGAUUAGAUACCCGAGUAGUCC
Molecule: ribosomal RNA, 274 nt
Filed under: uncultured bacterium
Lineage: Bacteria
Description: partial 16S ribosomal RNA
Rfam family: Bacterial small subunit ribosomal RNA
Source: RNAcentral